This 1093-nucleotide long non-coding RNA is filed under the name Homo sapiens (human). RNAcentral's name for it is "HSALNT0288084". The record is from RNAcentral. Lineage: Eukaryota; Metazoa; Chordata; Mammalia; Primates; Hominidae.
CUUUCAUUGGGCUGUUGCUGGAUGGGAGUGCCUCUUUCCACAGAUUAUUUAGCUGCCAGGGAUUUCAGAGAGCCAAAAAGAGUUAAGAUAGGCUGGCUGUGCUCCAGGUUGUGUGUCGUUGUCUCAUUGUGGAUGCUGAGGAUGUUAGCACUCUGAAGGAAGCUUUUGUGUCAUCUGACAGGAAUCAUUGAACACUGACUGGACUCCAGCACAAUGCAGCUCGUUUUCACUGUCUGAAUUUCGUCUGCACCCAUGAAAAGCAAGUCAGAGGUGUGAGAAGACUGCUUCACCUUGGACUUGCCUUUGUUGUGUUUUGUGUUUUUUCUAGAGAGCCACUGCAAGGCCCAGGAUGAAGAGAGACAGUGAGAAGAUCCCAACCAUUUAUCACUGACACCGGCAUCUGUGGUCUCAGAAUGAAAUCCCAAAAUGAUGCAGGAGUGCCCCCUCGUGACUUGAAGCACCUGCUCAGCUGGAAACUGAAUUUCAGAUCCUUCCAGCGGUCCCUGCAGUCGGGUCCAGUGGAGAAGGAGGCAUUUCAGGACUGUGAAGUGAUUGCUGGAAACCGCUCUUCUAACUCCAUUCCAGAAAGAGUCUGUGUGCAAGAAUCUGGCCCCAUGGGGAUUGGAAUAUAAUCUGGUGAAGAUGUGGGACCCCAUACACCCCUCACCAGAUAAUAUCUUCACCCCAUCUGACUUUAUUGCUGCUCACACUCUCUGAUGUAGAAUGAUAUCUCAAGACAAUGAAGGAGUGCCACCUCAGGAUGUCAAGCACCUUCUCAGAUUGGAAGCCGACUCCAGGAAAAUUCAAGGGCCCUGCAAAAAGGACUGCUACUGUCUCUCUCUUGGAUCGUGGAACAAUUCCUUCGAUCCCACAGAGAAGACAGGUGAGAGUCCACUGCCUACGCACCUACCUGGAGGUUUCCUUCUCCAAACAGCCGCUGAAACUUUUUUCUAGGCAACGGUGGCAUUCAUUGUGAAGCUAACCAGAGUUCAACCUCAGGCCUGGUCCCUUGAGACUACUGCAGGUUCAUUCAGGAGACAGGCUGAGGCACCUGUCUCUCAGAGCUGGCAGCCUGCCUAAGCAGAGGAAAAUG